Molecule: ribosomal RNA, 491 nt
Filed under: uncultured bacterium
Lineage: Bacteria
Description: bacterial SSU rRNA
Rfam family: Bacterial small subunit ribosomal RNA
Source: RNAcentral
AACGCUGGCGGCGUGCCUAACACAUGCAAGUCGAACGGAGUGUUUCGCUGAAUUUGAUAAUAGCUUGCUAGAGGAUAAUUCUUGAAACACUUAGUGGCGGACGGGUGAGUAACACGUGAGCAACCUGCCUUUAAGAGGGGGAUAACAUUGAGAAAUCAGUGCUAAUACCGCAUAAAGCUAUUUAACCGCAUGAUUAAAUAGCUAAAGGAGAAAUCCGCUUAAAGAUGGGCUCGCGGCUGAUUAGUUAGUUGGUAGGGUAACGGCCUACCAAGACGAUGAUCAGUAGCCGAGCUGAGAGGCACAACGGCCACAUUGGGACUGAGAUACGGCCCAGACUCCUACGGGAGGCAGCAGUGGGGAAUAUUGGGCAAUGGGGGAAACCCUGACCCAGCAACGCCGCGUGAAGGAAGAAGGCCUUCGGGUUGUAAACUUCUUUUAGCAGGGACGAAUACGUGACGGUACCUGCAGAAAAAGCAACGGCUAACUACGUG